Molecule: non-coding RNA, 189 nt
Organism: Podarcis lilfordi (Lilford's wall lizard)
Lineage: Eukaryota; Metazoa; Chordata; Lepidosauria; Squamata; Lacertidae
Source: the annotation of a GenBank genome assembly
UUCUUGAUGUUGAGUCAGAAUCUGCUUUCUUGUAAGUUGAAGCCAUUGGUUCGAGUCCUACCCUCCGGAGCAGCGGAAACUUAUCUUGUUCCCUCUUCCAUGUGACAGCCCUUAAGAUAUUUGAAGAUGGCUAUCCCAUCUCCUCUCGGUCUCCUCUUUUCCAGGUUAAACAUACCCAACUUCUUCAAC